Molecule: ribosomal RNA, 349 nt
Filed under: uncultured bacterium
Lineage: Bacteria
Description: bacterial SSU rRNA
Rfam family: Bacterial small subunit ribosomal RNA
Source: RNAcentral
GGGUUUUAAAGGGCUCGUAGGCGGUUUGCCGCGUCUGCUGUGAAAGCCCGGAGCUCAACUCCGGGUGUGCAGUGGGUACGGGUAGACUGGAGUGCAGUAGGGGAGACUGGAAUUCCUGGUGUAGCGGUGAGAUGCGCAGAUAUCAGGAGGAACACCGAUGGCGAAGGCAGGUCUCUGGGCUGUUACUGACGCUGAGGAGCGAAAGCAUGGGGAGCGAACAGGAUUAGAUACCCUGGUAGUCCAUGCCGUAAACGUUGGGCACUAGGUGUGGGGAGCAUUCCACGUUUUCCGCGCCGUAGCUAACGCAUUAAGUGCCCCGCCUGGGGAGUACGGCCGCAAGGCUAAAACU